UGCAGUCGAGCGACAGAUAAGGAGCUUGCUCCUUUGACGUUAGCGGCGGACGGGUGAGUAACACGUGGAUAACCUACCUAUAAGACUGGGAUAACUUCGGGAAACCGGAGCUAAUACCGGAUAAGAUUUUGAACCGCAUGGUUCAAUAGUGAAAGACGGCCUUGCUGUCACUUAUAGAUGGAUCCGCGCCGUAUUAGCUAGUUGGUAAGGUAACGGCUUACCAAGGCAACGAUACGUAGCCGACCUGAGAGGGUGAUCGGCCACACUGGAACUGAGACACGGUCCAGACUCCUACGGGAGGCAGCAGUAGGGAAUCUUCCGCAAUGGGCGAAAGCCUGACGGAGCAACGCCGCGUGAGUGAUGAAGGUCUUCGGAUCGUAAAACUCUGUUAUCAGGGAAGAACAAACGUGUAAGUAACUGUGCACGUCUUGACGGUACCUGAUCAGAAAGCCACGGCUAACUACGUGCCAGCAGCCGCGGUAAUACGUAGGUGGCAAGCGUUAUCCGGAAUUAUUGGGCGUAAAGCGCGCGUAGGCGGUUUUUUAAGUCUGAUGUGAAAGCCCACGGCUCAACCGUGGAGGGUCAUUGGAAACUGGAAAACUUGAGUGCAGAAGAGGAAAGUGGAAUUCCAUGUGUAGCGGUGAAAUGCGCAAGAUAUGGAGGAACACCAGUGGCGAAGCGACUUUCUGGUCUGUAACUGACGCUGAUGGCAAAGC
RNAcentral lists this ribosomal RNA (716 nucleotides) under Staphylococcus sp. Its description in RNAcentral is "bacterial SSU rRNA". It matches the Rfam family "Bacterial small subunit ribosomal RNA", at positions 56 to 760 of the family's 1533-position model. Lineage: Bacteria; Bacillati; Bacillota; Bacilli; Caryophanales; Staphylococcaceae. The record is from RNAcentral.